This 1380-nucleotide ribosomal RNA is filed under the name Salmonella enterica subsp. enterica. RNAcentral's name for it is "bacterial SSU rRNA". It matches the Rfam family "Bacterial small subunit ribosomal RNA", at positions 161 to 1533 of the family's 1533-position model. Lineage: Bacteria; Pseudomonadati; Pseudomonadota; Gammaproteobacteria; Enterobacterales; Enterobacteriaceae. RNAcentral also lists the same sequence under 1 other name. The record is from RNAcentral.
GGCUAAUACCGCAUAACGUCGCAAGACCAAAGAGGGGGACCUUCGGGCCUCUUGCCAUCAGAUGUGCCCAGAUGGGAUUAGCUUGUUGGUGAGGUAACGGCUCACCAAGGCGACGAUCCCUAGCUGGUCUGAGAGGAUGACCAGCCACACUGGAACUGAGACACGGUCCAGACUCCUACGGGAGGCAGCAGUGGGGAAUAUUGCACAAUGGGCGCAAGCCUGAUGCAGCCAUGCCGCGUGUAUGAAGAAGGCCUUCGGGUUGUAAAGUACUUUCAGCGGGGAGGAAGGUGUUGUGGUUAAUAACCGCAGCAAUUGACGUUACCCGCAGAAGAAGCACCGGCUAACUCCGUGCCAGCAGCCGCGGUAAUACGGAGGGUGCAAGCGUUAAUCGGAAUUACUGGGCGUAAAGCGCACGCAGGCGGUCUGUCAAGUCGGAUGUGAAAUCCCCGGGCUCAACCUGGGAACUGCAUUCGAAACUGGCAGGCUUGAGUCUUGUAGAGGGGGGUAGAAUUCCAGGUGUAGCGGUGAAAUGCGUAGAGAUCUGGAGGAAUACCGGUGGCGAAGGCGGCCCCCUGGACAAAGACUGACGCUCAGGUGCGAAAGCGUGGGGAGCAAACAGGAUUAGAUACCCUGGUAGUCCACGCCGUAAACGAUGUCUACUUGGAGGUUGUGCCCUUGAGGCGUGGCUUCCGGAGCUAACGCGUUAAGUAGACCGCCUGGGGAGUACGGCCGCAAGGUUAAAACUCAAAUGAAUUGACGGGGGCCCGCACAAGCGGUGGAGCAUGUGGUUUAAUUCGAUGCAACGCGAAGAACCUUACCUGGUCUUGACAUCCACAGAACUUUCCAGAGAUGGAUUGGUGCCUUCGGGAACUGUGAGACAGGUGCUGCAUGGCUGUCGUCAGCUCGUGUUGUGAAAUGUUGGGUUAAGUCCCGCAACGAGCGCAACCCUUAUCCUUUGUUGCCAGCGGUCCGGCCGGGAACUCAAAGGAGACUGCCAGUGAUAAACUGGAGGAAGGUGGGGAUGACGUCAAGUCAUCAUGGCCCUUACGACCAGGGCUACACACGUGCUACAAUGGCGCAUACAAAGAGAAGCGACCUCGCGAGAGCAAGCGGACCUCAUAAAGUGCGUCGUAGUCCGGAUUGGAGUCUGCAACUCGACUCCAUGAAGUCGGAAUCGCUAGUAAUCGUGGAUCAGAAUGCCACGGUGAAUACGUUCCCGGGCCUUGUACACACCGCCCGUCACACCAUGGGAGUGGGUUGCAAAAGAAGUAGGUAGCUUAACCUUCGGGAGGGCGCUUACCACUUUGUGAUUCAUGACUGGGGUGAAGUCGUAACAAGGUAACCGUAGGGGAACCUGCGGUUGGAUCACCUCCUUACCUU